GGGGUGGUGGCGCAGUUGGCUAGCGCGCUGGGCUCGUAGUGCUUAACGAAUUGUUAAGCAAAUUCACCGCUCGGUGAGGUGUUUCCAGAGGUCGAGAGUUCGAUCCUCUCCCAUCCCA
This 118-nucleotide transfer RNA is filed under the name Ipomoea nil (Japanese morning glory). It matches the Rfam family "tRNA". Rfam says of the family: Transfer RNA (tRNA) molecules are approximately 80 nucleotides in length. Their secondary structure includes four short double-helical elements and three loops (D, anti-codon, and T loops). Lineage: Eukaryota; Viridiplantae; Streptophyta; Magnoliopsida; Solanales; Convolvulaceae. The record is from Rfam by way of RNAcentral.